UACGUAGGGCGCAAGCGUUGUCCGGAAUACUGGGCGUAAAGCGUGCGCAGGCGGUGAUGUAAGACAGGUGUGAAAUCCCCGGGCUUAACCUGGGAACUGCAUUUGUGACUGCAUCGCUGGAGUGCGGCAGAGGGGGAUGGAAUUCCGCGUGUAGCAGUGAAAUGCGUAGAUAUGCGGAGGAACACCGAUGGCGAAGGCAAUCCCCUGGGCCUGCACUGACGCUCAUGCACGAAAGCGUGGGGAGCAAACAGGAUUGAGAAACCCCUGG
RNAcentral lists this ribosomal RNA (268 nucleotides) under uncultured bacterium. RNAcentral's name for it is "partial 16S ribosomal RNA". It matches the Rfam family "Bacterial small subunit ribosomal RNA", at positions 524 to 790 of the family's 1533-position model. The record is from RNAcentral.